CCUACGGGGAGCAGCAGUAGGGAAUUUUCCACAAUGGGCGCAAGCCUGAUGGAGCAACACCGCGUGAGUGAAGAAGGGUUUCGGCUCGUAAAGCUCUGUUGUUGGAGAAGAACGUGCGUGAGAGUAACUGUUCACGCAGUGACGGUAUCCAACCAGAAAGUCACGGCUAACUACGUGCCAGCAGCCGCGGUAAUACGUAGGUGGCAAGCGUUAUCCGGAUUUAUUGGGCGUAAAGCGAGUGCAGGCGGUUGCUUAGGUCGGAUGUGAAAGCCUUCGGCUUAACCGAAGAAGUGCAUCGGAAACCGGGCAACUUGAGUGCAGAAGAGGACAGUGGAACUCCAUGUGUAGCGGUGGAAUGCGUAGAUAUAUGGAAGAACACCAGUGGCGAAGGCGGCUGUCUGGUCUGCAACUGACGCUGAGGCUCGAAAGCAUGGGUAGCGAACAGGAUUAGAUACCCCGGUAGUC
This 465-nucleotide ribosomal RNA is filed under the name uncultured bacterium. RNAcentral's name for it is "partial 16S ribosomal RNA". It matches the Rfam family "Bacterial small subunit ribosomal RNA", at positions 338 to 795 of the family's 1533-position model. The record is from RNAcentral.